This 475-nucleotide ribosomal RNA is filed under the name Aspergillus brasiliensis. RNAcentral describes it as "partial 18S ribosomal RNA". It matches the Rfam family "Eukaryotic small subunit ribosomal RNA", at positions 624 to 1113 of the family's 1831-position model. Lineage: Eukaryota; Fungi; Ascomycota; Eurotiomycetes; Eurotiales; Aspergillaceae. The record is from RNAcentral.
ACAUUUAUAAUAUAAAAAGGCAAACACAGAAUCAUCUAUGGGUUCAGUUAAGUAUGGGAGUAGUCAACUAUGAUGUUCCCGAGGUGGGGCUGCAUUUAUAGGACCCACUUAGGUAGCAUGUUUAUUUUUAACCUUAGUUUGAUGUCUGAGUUCAAGGCAGGCCUCUGCUCGAAAUAAGAGACCAGAACGUUCGGUUCUAUCUUGUCAGGUUCUAGGACCGCCGUAAUAACCAAUAGGGAUAGUAGGAUGUGUCAGUAUCCAGCUGUCAGAGAUGAAGUUCUUGGAUUGGCCGAAGACUCACUGUGAAAUCAUUUGCCAAGGGAUGUUUUCACAAAUUGAAGGAAUGAGAGUUAGGGGAUUGAUGACCUUCCAAUACUAUUAUAGUCUUAACUAUAGACUAUGCUGACUAGGGAUUGGACGAUGUUUCUAUUAUGAUCGGUUCAAUAUCUUACAAGAUAUCAAAAGUCUGUGGGAU